Molecule: long non-coding RNA, 426 nt
Organism: Dendroctonus ponderosae (mountain pine beetle)
Lineage: Eukaryota; Metazoa; Arthropoda; Insecta; Coleoptera; Curculionidae
Exons: 2
Source: RefSeq, a predicted model, not a curated record
UUUCCCUAUAGUGUUUGCCAGUACUGCAUAAAUUAAAUAAAUAGUACCAAGUACUGCAUAAAUUAAAUAAAAUCGUGUAGUCCAACUUUUCAAAAAUCACUGACAUGUAUAUUUUAUCUUUGAAUUGGCAUCCUUAAUAUUAACUCAAUGUUUGAGGGAUCUUUUCGAAUCAGCUGCUGAAUGUACUGCUGCACCUCCAGGGUGCUGUCCAUUUCCUUCAAGGUUUCAUCUGGCCAACGACAAAAGUCCUGAAUAUGAACAAAAUAUUAUUAUUGCAAAUUAAUCAUUACAUUGUCAAAGAAAAUGAAGAUUGGUUGCAGUUCUUGUUAUAGUUAUAGUGCUGUAAUGUUUGGUAUUGAAAUUUUGAAGAUAAAAAUACAUGUUGGCAAUUUGCAUUUCAUUCAAAGCAGUAAUAACAAUAUCGAA